Molecule: ribosomal RNA, 497 nt
Filed under: uncultured bacterium
Lineage: Bacteria
Description: partial 16S ribosomal RNA
Rfam family: Bacterial small subunit ribosomal RNA
Source: RNAcentral
GAUGAACGCUGGCGGCGUGCCUAAUACAUGCCAGUCGAGCGAACGGACGAGAAGCUUGCUUCUCUGAUGUUAGCGGCGGACGGGUGAGUAACACGUGGAUAACCUACCUAUAAGACUGGGAUAACUUCGGGAAACCGUAGCUAAUACCGGAUAAUAUUUUGAACCGCAUGGUUCAAAAGUGAAAGACGGUCUUGCUGUCACUUAUAGAUGGAUCCGCGCUGCAUUAGCUAGUUGGUAAGGUAACGGCUUACCAAGGCAACGAUGCAUAGCCGACCUGAGAGGGUGAUCGGCCACACUGGAACUGAGACACGGUCCAGACUCCUACGGGAGGCAGCAGUAGGGAAUAUUCCGCAAUGGGCGAAAGCCUGACGGAGCAACGCCGCGUGAGUGAUGAAGGUCUUCGGAUCGUAAAACUCUGUUAUUAGUGAAGAACAUAUGUGUAAGUAACUGUGCACAUCUUGACGGUACCUAAUCAGAAAGCCACGGCUAACUACGUG